This 717-nucleotide ribosomal RNA is filed under the name uncultured Glomeromycotina. RNAcentral describes it as "SSU rRNA". It matches the Rfam family "Eukaryotic small subunit ribosomal RNA", at positions 371 to 1114 of the family's 1831-position model. The record is from RNAcentral. Lineage: Eukaryota; Fungi; Glomeromycota.
GUUAGGGCMCGACACCGGAAGGGAGCCUGAGAACGGCUACCACAUCCAAGGAUGGCAGCAGGCGCGCAAAUUACCCAAUCCCGACACGGGGAGGUAGUGACAAUAAAUAACAAUACGGGGUUCUUUCGGAUCUCGUAAUUGGAAUGAGUACAAUUUAAAUCUCUUAACGAGGAACAAUUGGAGGGCAAGUCUGGUGCCAGCAGCCGCGGUAAUUCCAGCUCCAAUAGCGUGUAUUAAAGUUGUUGCAGUUAAAAAGCUCGUAGUUGAAUUUCGGGGUUAGUAGGUUGGUCAUGCCUCUGGUAUGUACUGAUCUCACUGAUUCCUCCUUCCUUAUGAACCGUAAUGCCAUUAAUUUGGUGUUGCGGGGAAUUUGGACUGUUACUUUGAAAAAAUUAGAGUGUUUAAAGCAGGCUAACGCUUGAAUACAUUAGCAUGGAAUAAUGAAAUAGGACGUUCGAUCUUAUUUUGUUGGUUUCUAGGAUUGACGUAAUGAUUAAUAGGGAUAGUUGGGGGCAUUAGUAUUCAAUUGUCAGAGGUGAAACUCUUGGAWUUAUUGAAGACUAACUACUGCGAAAGCAUUUGCCAAGGAUGUUUUCAUUAAUCAAGAACGAAAGUUAGGGAUCGAARACGAUCARAUACCGUCGUAGUCCUAACCAUAACUAUGCCGACUAGGAUCGAWGAUGUAUUUUUAUGACUCAUCGCGCUACGGAACCAAKG